RNAcentral lists this ribosomal RNA (511 nucleotides) under uncultured bacterium. RNAcentral describes it as "partial 16S ribosomal RNA". It matches the Rfam family "Bacterial small subunit ribosomal RNA", at positions 28 to 507 of the family's 1533-position model. The record is from RNAcentral.
GACAAACGCUGGCGGCAUGCCUAACACAUGCAAGUCGAACGGACAGAACAGGUAAGCUUUUCGGGGUGGAACUGGAAAGUUAGGUGCGGAUGGGGGAGUAACGCGGGGACAACCGACCUUGUAAAGGGGAAUAACCUCGAGAAAUCGAAGCUAAUACCCCGUAAUAGCCUUGCUUCGCAUGAAGUAAGGAGGAAAGGCGGCCUUAGCGCUGUCGAUACAAGGUGGGGCCGCGUCUGAUUAGCUAGUUGGUGGGGUAAAGGCUCACCAAGGCGACGAUCCGUAGCCGGUCUGAGAGGAUGAACGGCCACACUGGGACUGAGACACGGCCCAAACUCCUACGGGAGGCAGCAGUGGGGAAUCUUCCGCAAUGGGGGAAAGCCUGACGGAGCCAUGCCGCGUGAGUGAAGAAGGCCUUCGGGUUGUAAAACUCUGUUCUUCGCGAAGAGAGCCUGUUGUAGUAUCUGACGAGGCUAGGACGGUAGCUGAGGAGGAAGCACCGGCUAACUACGUG